Mauremys reevesii (Reeves's turtle) is the source of this 471-nucleotide long non-coding RNA. RefSeq lists it as uncharacterized. NCBI's taxonomy places the organism in Eukaryota, Metazoa, Chordata, Testudines, Geoemydidae. The transcript is spliced from 3 exons. The record is from RefSeq and is a predicted model, not a curated record.
AUAAAACUGGUUAUUAAAGCAGCCUUUAUUUUCAUAUUGUACUCAGAUUAUCUGCCAACAUCCUGUGCUACAGGUCAACAAGAGAAUAUAUUAUUAUGAUCACCAGCCAGAAUCCUCUUCCUGCCACUUCUACCUCCCAACAAUAUCCUCAGUCAUUGGCACUCAAAGAGAUAUGCAUUCCUGCCAUUAUUCCAUUCCUGCAAUCCUCUUCAGCCAUAAGAUGGCAUGGCAUAUUUAUCAAAUAAGAACCACGGCUGUGGGACAUCACUAAUCAUAUUUGCUUAACUAGCAGGACAGGAGAAAAAAUAUCAUCUGACUGCUGUUUGUAGGUAAUACCAUCUAUGGGCCAGAUUCUCCUACACUUACCAAUAUUGAGUAGCACCUUAAUCAAGGGGCAGAUCAGUGAGAGUAUUCACAGAGUAAGUGGUUAUCAGAGCCCAUUCCUUAGAAAGGAUUCAACAUUGUAUUAAA